This 1055-nucleotide ribosomal RNA is filed under the name Lacticaseibacillus paracasei. RNAcentral describes it as "bacterial SSU rRNA". It matches the Rfam family "Bacterial small subunit ribosomal RNA", at positions 19 to 1032 of the family's 1533-position model. Lineage: Bacteria; Bacillati; Bacillota; Bacilli; Lactobacillales; Lactobacillaceae. The record is from RNAcentral.
CUGGCUCAGGAUGAACGCUGGCGGCGUGCCUAAUACAUGCAAGUCGAACGAGUUCUCGUUGAUGAUCGGUGCUUGCACCGAGAUUCAACAUGGAACGAGUGGCGGACGGGUGAUUUAACACGUGGGUAACCUGCCCUUAAGUGGGGGAUAACAUUUGGAAACAGAUGCUAAUACGGCAUAGAUCCAAGAACCGCAUGGUGCUUGGCUGAAAGAUGGCGUAAGCUAUCGCUUUUGGAUGGACCCGCGGCGUAGUUAGCUAGUUGGUGAGGUAAUGGCUCACCAAGGCGAUGAUACGUAGCCGAACUGAGAGGUUGAUCGGCCACAUUGGGACUGAGACACGGGCCAAACUCCUACGGGACAGUAGGGAAUCUUCCACAAUGGACGCAAGUCUGAUGGAGCAACGCCGCGUAUUAGUGAAGAAGGCUUUCGGGUCGUAACCUUCUCUGUUGUUGGAGAAGAAUGGUCGGCAGAGUAACUGUUGUCGGCGUGACGGUAUCCAACCAGAAAGCCACGGCUAACUACGUGCCAGCAGCCAUACGUAGGUGGCAAGCGUUAUUAAAUCCGGAUUUAUUGGGCGUAAAGCGAGCGCAGGCGGUUUUUUAAGUCUGAUGUGAAAUUCCCUCGGCUUAACCGAGGAAGCGCAUCGGAAACUGGGAAACUUGAGUGCAGAAGAGGACAGUGGAACUCCAUGUGUAGCGGUGAAAUGCGUAGAUAUAUGGAAGAACACCAGUGGCGAAGGCGUUCUGUCUGGUCUGUAACUGACGCUGAGGCUCGAAAGCAUGGGUAGCGAACAGGAUUAGAUACCCUGGUAGUCCAUGCCGUAAACGAUGAAUGCUAGGUGUUGGAGGGUUUCCGCCCUUCAAAGUGCCGCAGCUAACGCAUUAAGCAUUCCGCCUGGGGAGUACGACCGCAAGGUUGAAACUCAAAGGAAUUGACGGGGGCCCGCACAAGCGGUGGAGCAUGUGGUUUAAUUCGAAGCAACGCGAAGAACCUUACCAGGUCUUGACAUCUUUUGAUCACCUUUAGAGAUCAGGUUUCCCCUUCGGGGGCAAAAU